GACGAACGCUGGCGGCGUGCUUAACACAUGCAAGUCGAACGGAAAGGCCCUGCUUUUGCGGGGUGCUCGAGUGCCGAACGGGUGAGUAUCACGUGUGUAACCUGCCCUUGACUUUGGGAUAACUCCUGGAAACUGGGGCUCUUACCGCAUAGGAUCUCCUGCUGCAUGUUGGUGGUUGGAAAGUUUCGGCGGUUGGGGCUGGUCUCGCGGCUUCUCCGCUUGUUGGUGGGGUAGUUGCUUACCAGGGCUUUGACGGGUAGCCGGCCUGAGAGGGUGACCGGCCACAUGGGGACUGAGAUACGGCCCAGACGCCAACGGGAGGCAGCAGUGGGGAAUAUGGCACAAUGGGCGGAAGCCUGAGGCAGCAACGCCGCGUGCGGGAUGACGGCCUUCGGGUUGUAAACCGCUUUCGCCUGUGACGAAGCGGGAGUGACGGUAAUGGGUAAAGAAGCACCGGCUAACUACGUG
This 468-nucleotide ribosomal RNA is filed under the name uncultured bacterium. Its description in RNAcentral is "partial 16S ribosomal RNA". It matches the Rfam family "Bacterial small subunit ribosomal RNA", at positions 28 to 507 of the family's 1533-position model. The record is from RNAcentral.